Molecule: ribosomal RNA, 497 nt
Filed under: uncultured bacterium
Lineage: Bacteria
Description: partial 16S ribosomal RNA
Rfam family: Bacterial small subunit ribosomal RNA
Source: RNAcentral
GAUGAACGCUGGCGGCGUGCCUAAUACAUGCAAGUCGAGCGAACGGACGAGAAGCUUGCUUCUCUGUUGUUAGCGGCGGACGGGUGUGUAACACGUGGAUAACCUACCUAUAAUACUGGUAUCACUUCGGGAAACCGGCGCUAAUACCGUAUGAUAUUUUGAACCGCAUGGUUCAAAGGUAAAAGACGGUCUUUCUGUCACUUAUCGCUGCAUCCGCGCUGCAUUAGCUAGUUGGUACGGUAACGGCCUACCAAGGCAACGAUGCAUAGCCGACCUGAGAGGGGGAUCGGCGACACGGGAAGUGAGACAGGGUCAAGACGACUGAGAGAGGCAGCAGAAGGGAAUGGGAGGCAAUGGGCGAAAGCAUGACGGAGCAGGGCCACGUGAGUGAUGGAGGUGUUCGGAUCGUAAAACUCUGUUAUUAGGGGAGAACAGAUGUGGAAGGAGACGAAGAGAGAGUGACGGUACCGAAUCAGAAAGCAACGGCUAACUACGUG